This 497-nucleotide ribosomal RNA is filed under the name uncultured bacterium. RNAcentral's name for it is "partial 16S ribosomal RNA". It matches the Rfam family "Bacterial small subunit ribosomal RNA", at positions 28 to 507 of the family's 1533-position model. The record is from RNAcentral.
GAUGAACGCUGGCGGCGUGCCUAAUACAUGCAAGUCGAGCGAACAGACGAGGAGCUUGCUCCUCUGACGUUAGCGGCGGACGGGUGAGUAACAGGUGGAUAACCUACCUAUAAGACUGGGAUAACUUCGGGAAACCGGAGCUAAUACCGGAUAAUAUAUUGAACCGCAUGGUUCAAUAGUGAAAGACGGUUUUGCUGUCACUUAUAGAUGGAUCCGCGCCGCAUUAGCUAGUUGGUAAGGUAACGGCUUACCAAGGCAACGAUGCGUAGCCGACCUGAGAGGGUGAUCGGCCACACUGGAACUGAGACACGGUCCAGACUCCUACGGGAGGCAGCAGUAGGGAAUCUUCCGCAAUGGGCGAAAGCCUGACGGAGCAACGCCGCGUGAGUGAUGAAGGUCUUCGGAUAGUAAAACUCUGUUAUUAGGGAAGAACAAAUGUGUAAGUAACUAUGCACGUCUUGACGGUACCUAAUCAGAAAGCCACGGCUAACUACGUG